AGAAGUACCUGACUAUGCCGGACUUUAAUGCAGCCUACAGAUGCUCUAAUCACCAAACAAGAACCCGUGGAAUCACCUUUCACGUGUUUCCCAAAACCGGAGAGAGGAGGAGGCAGUGGGAAGCUGCCCUAAGAAGGCAGGACACUGCUCUGCAGUGAGCACUUCAGUUGUGAGGACUUUGACAGGACGGGGCAGACUGUCCGGCUUAAAGAUGGUGUUGUGCCAACAGUAUUCAACUUCCCAGCUCAUCUUCAAAGGCCGGAAGCAACAAGAAGCACAACCACUUCAAGAAGAGCGGAAGAUGAACCUCAGCCUAAUGUUGUGAGUAUUCUGAAUGUGGCCAAGACCAGAGAGAUGGUCAUUGAUUUCAGGAGGGUGAGGAC
Long non-coding RNA from Trematomus bernacchii (emerald rockcod), 383 nucleotides. RefSeq lists it as uncharacterized. NCBI's taxonomy places the organism in Eukaryota, Metazoa, Chordata, Actinopteri, Perciformes, Nototheniidae. The record is from RefSeq and is a predicted model, not a curated record. The transcript is spliced from 3 exons.